ACCUGCCUGGCUCAGUCAGCAGAGCGUAUGACUCUUGAUCUCAGGGUUGUGAGUUCGAGCCCCACAGUGGGUG
This 73-nucleotide transfer RNA is filed under the name Felis catus (domestic cat). It matches the Rfam family "tRNA". From Rfam's summary of the family: Transfer RNA (tRNA) molecules are approximately 80 nucleotides in length. The record is from Rfam by way of RNAcentral. Lineage: Eukaryota; Metazoa; Chordata; Mammalia; Carnivora; Felidae. RNAcentral also lists the same sequence under 1 other name.